GUAGGGAAUAUUGGACAAUGGGGGCAACCCUGAUCCAGCGACGCCGCGUGAGUGAUGAAGGCCUUCGGGUCGUAAAGCUCUGUUGCAGGGGAAGAACACAAUGACGGUACCCUGCUAGAAAGGAUCGGCUAACUUCGUGCCAGCAGCCGCGGUAAGACGAGGGAUCCUAGCGUUGUUCGGAAUUAUUGGGCGUAAAGCGGGUGCAGGUGGCUUGGUAAGUCAGAUGUGAAAGCCUGGGGCUUAACCCCAGAAGUGCAUUUGAUACUGCUGAGCUUGAGUGCUGGAGAGGCUAUUAGAAUUCCUGGUGUAGUGGUGAAAUACGUAGAUAUCAGGAGGAAUACCGGAGGCGAAGGCGGAUAGCUGGCCAGACACUGACACUCAGACCCGAAAGCGUGGGGAUCAAACAGGAUUAGAAACCCUGGUAGUCC
RNAcentral lists this ribosomal RNA (428 nucleotides) under uncultured bacterium. Its description in RNAcentral is "bacterial SSU rRNA". It matches the Rfam family "Bacterial small subunit ribosomal RNA", at positions 354 to 796 of the family's 1533-position model. The record is from RNAcentral.